UACGUAGGGUGCGAGCGUUAAUCGGAAUUACUGGGCGUAAAGCGUGCGCAGGCGGUUUUGUAAGCCAGAUGUGAAAUCCCCGGGCUUAACCUGGGAAUGGCAUUUGGGACUGCAAGGCUCGAGUGCGGCAGAGGAGACUGGAACUCCUGGUGUAGCAGUGAAAUGCGUAGAUAUCAGGAGGAACACCGAUGGCGAAGGCAGGUCUCUGGGCUGACACUGACGCUCAUGCACGAAAGCGUGGGGAGCAAACAGG
RNAcentral lists this ribosomal RNA (253 nucleotides) under uncultured bacterium. RNAcentral describes it as "partial 16S ribosomal RNA". It matches the Rfam family "Bacterial small subunit ribosomal RNA", at positions 524 to 776 of the family's 1533-position model. The record is from RNAcentral.